AUUGAACGCUGGCGGCAGGCCUAACACAUGCAAGUCGAGCGGAUGAAGGGAGCUUGCUCCUGGAUUCAGCGGCGGACGGGUGAGUAAUGCCUAGGAAUCUGCCUGGUAGUGGGGAUUAAGUCCGGGAAAGGGCGCUAAUUCCGCCUACGUCCUUAGGGAGGAAAUGGGGGGUCUUCGGACCCCACGCCUUCCGAUUGGCCUAGGUCGGAUUAGCUAGUUGGUGGGGUAAAGGCCUACCAAGGCGACGAUCCGUAACUGGUCUGAGAGGAUGAUCAGUCACACUGGAACUGAGACACGGUCCAGACUCCUACGGGAGGCAGCAGUGGGGAAUAUUGGACAAUGGGCGAAAGCCUGAUCCAGCCAUGCCGCGUGUGUGAAGAAGGUCUUCGGAUUGUAAAGCACUUUAAGUUGGGAGGAAGGGCAGUAAGUUAAUACCUUGCUGUUUUGACGUUACCAACAGAAUAAGCACCGGCUAACUUCGUG
This 483-nucleotide ribosomal RNA is filed under the name uncultured bacterium. RNAcentral describes it as "partial 16S ribosomal RNA". It matches the Rfam family "Bacterial small subunit ribosomal RNA", at positions 30 to 507 of the family's 1533-position model. The record is from RNAcentral.